CGUUAAUAGAAUGUCACUGUCAUUACCCGGAAACGGAUAUGGGAAUACAUUUGUAGA
Molecule: non-coding RNA, 57 nt
Submitted as: unclassified sequences
Source: Rfam